Long non-coding RNA from Choloepus didactylus (southern two-toed sloth), 1692 nucleotides. RefSeq lists it as uncharacterized. The record is from RefSeq and is a predicted model, not a curated record. Lineage: Eukaryota; Metazoa; Chordata; Mammalia; Pilosa; Megalonychidae. The transcript is spliced from 2 exons.
UCCCUUCCUGCAUCAGGCACUCAGCGAAUCUCAGCAACCGUGCGCUGGAGGCGCGCACCCGCGCGCACGCGCGCGAGGGAGGCCAAACAGAGGUGCUCUCCAGGGUUUGUGUUCCCGUCCUAAAAGGGGGUCUCCAGCCGCGCUGGGCAGCUGGGCUGCUCCGGGCCCUCCCCGACCCUGUACUCAAUCCCCCUCACCCUGGCCAGCGCCUCCUGCUGCUGGGAGCUCAGGUUCCCGACUCGGCCGCUCAUGGGAGCAAGUGUACAGGAUACGCGUCUGCAGUCCCGCGACGCCGGGCCUCGCCGCCACCUGGUUGUGUCGAGUCUGAUGUUGGUCCCGCCCCGUCGAUCCUCGCCAGCUCGUCGGAGGGCUGCGCUAGAGGGAUUUGAAAUUUUAAAAUAAAAAUGAAAUCUGCAAACAACUAAAAAGGAAAAGAAUGUGAUGCUUGCCACACCGCUGGAAGGGCACAGUCUGAACUGAAAACAAGAACCGAGAUCACAAAGGGAAAAGCAAUUGAUUGACUACUGUAUAUAAAAAUACAAAAAUCAGUGAAUCAAGAAACAAAAUUGAGGCAUUAUGUCAAUAUGUGCCGAUAUAAACUGGGAAAAAAGAAAAUGUACAAAAAUUGUUAUCUUUGUAAAAAACUCAUGUGCAUUGAUAAGAAAAGUAGCAGAAUGCUAAGAAAUAGAUGGACAAAGAUUCCAAGCACAGAUUCUCCCACGAUGAGUUCCACUGGGGAAAUAAGAAGAUAAAUGCUCAUCUUCCUGGGUCAUCAAAGAAAUGUGUAUUCAAGCAAUGAGAUACUUUAUUCCUUUGCCUAAUUGGCAAAACAAAACAAAAUAAAACAAACAGCACACACACACACAACCCUUUUAAAAAAAUAAAGUAAUAAAGUUAAUGAGAAGUCGUGGAAUGAAGACAUGCAUGUAUUGCUGGCAGGAGUGUAAUUUGGCCUCUAUAGAGCAGACACGAUAUGUCAAGAUGCUUAAAUAUUUUCCUACUUUGCCCAAUGAUAAUCCGAAUUAAGAGAAAGCAUUUUAUCCUUAACAUUUUUUUUGUGCAUUGUUAAUAGAAAACUUGGAAACAAAUUUUUAAGUCAACCUUGGUGCUUAAUGUGGUUCAUGGAGAGUUUAUAAUGACAUGCAAAAAAAUACCAUGCCAUGGAAAUGUAUGACACAAAGAGUGAGGAAAAAAAGGGAAAAAAUAAAAUUAAAAAAAAGAGAAAAACCACUAUGAAACAAUUUGGAAAAGGUCAGAUCACGUUAGGUAUGUCAUUCGCUUUGGAAAUAUAGAACAAAACCCACCUGAUAAAAGACAAAAGAAGAGCCAGCCAAGGAAAGUAAAUUUCCCCCCGCUUUUCCCAGUGGUUGUGUCUAAGGAAUGGGAAAAGUCGUAUUUUUAAAAUGCCACAGGUAACAAGUCAUCGCCAAAGAGAGGCUUCUGUUUAACCAGCACUUACAGUAACUUUCCAGGGGCCAGGCCCUGUUCUAAGAGUUUUAUAAAUAUUAGCUCAAUGGUGUCCAACAGAAAUAUAAUGCAAGCCUCCUGUGUACUGGAAAUUCUCUAGAAGCCACAUUCAAAAAAGUUUAAAAAAAAGAAUUUUAAUAAUAUGCUUUAUUUAGGACCCUAUAUCCCAUAUAUUAUCAUUUUGAUAUGUCAUCCAUAUAAACAUUAAUUAUGAGAUACUUUGAA